GAUGAACGCUGGCGGCGUGCUUAACACAUGCAAGUCGAACGAUGAAGCCCAGCUUGCUGGGUGGAUUAGUGGCGAACGGGUGAGUAGCACGUGAGUAACCUGCCCUUGACUCUGGGAUAAGCCUGGGAAACUGGGUCUAAUACCGGAUAGGAACGUCCACCGCAUGGUGGGUGUUGGAAAGAUUUAUCGGUCAUGGAUGGACUCGCGGCCUAUCAGCUUGUUGGUGAGGUAAUGGCUCACCAAGGCGACGACGGGUAGCCGGCCUGAGAGGGUGACCGGCCACACUGGGACUGAGACACGGCCCAGACUCCUACGGGAGGCAGCAGUGGGGAAUAUUGCACAAUGGGCGAAAGCCUGAUGCAGCGACGCCGCGUGAGGGAUGACGGCCUUCGGGUUGUAAACCUCUUUCAGUAGGGAAGAAGCGAAAGUGACGGUACCUGCAGAAGAAGCACCGGCUAACUACGUG
RNAcentral lists this ribosomal RNA (466 nucleotides) under uncultured bacterium. Its description in RNAcentral is "partial 16S ribosomal RNA". It matches the Rfam family "Bacterial small subunit ribosomal RNA", at positions 28 to 507 of the family's 1533-position model. The record is from RNAcentral.